UGGGGAAUAUUGGACAAUGGGCGCAAGCCUGAUCCAGCAAUGCCGCGUGUGUGAAGAAGGCCUUCGGGUUGUAAAGCACUUUUAUCAGGAGCGAAACGCUGUCGGCUAAUACCCGGCGGAACUGACGGUACCUGAGGAAUAAGCACCGGCUAACUUCGUGCCAGCAGCCGCGGUAAUACGAAGGGUGCAAGCGUUAAUCGGAAUUACUGGGCGUAAAGCGUGCGUAGGCGGUUUCUUAAGUCUGCUGUGAAAUCCCCGGGCUCAACCUGGGAAUGGCAGUGGAUACUGGGAGGCUAGAGUGUGUCAGAGGGUGGUGGAAUUCCCGGUGUAGCGGUGAAAUGCGUAGAGAUCGGGAGGAACAUCAGUGGCGAAGGCGGCCCACCUGGGACAACACUGACGCUGAGGCACGAAAGCGUGGGGAGCAAACAGGAUUAGAUACCCUGGUAGUCCACGCCCUAAAGCGAUGCGAACUGGAUGUUGGUCUCAACUCGGAGAUCAGUGUCGAAGCUAACGCGUUAAGUUCGCCGCCUGGGGAGUACGGUCGCAAGACUGAAACUCAAAGGAAUUGACGGGGUCAUAGCUGUUUCCUG
RNAcentral lists this ribosomal RNA (590 nucleotides) under uncultured bacterium. Its description in RNAcentral is "partial 16S ribosomal RNA". It matches the Rfam family "Bacterial small subunit ribosomal RNA", at positions 355 to 1376 of the family's 1533-position model. The record is from RNAcentral.